CCCCAGGGAAACUGGGGGCUAAUCCCUGAUAGGCGAGGAAUUCUGGAAUGAGUCUUCACCCAAAGGGCGCUUAGAUCAUGCUUCUAGGCGUUGCCCAAGGAUGGGGCCGCGACCGAUCAGGUUGUUGGUGAGGUAAUGGCUCACCAAGCCUACUACCGGUGCGGGCCGUGAGAGCGGGAGCCCGGAGAUGGGCACUGAGACAAGGGCCCAGGCCCUACGGGGCGCAGCAGUCGCGAAAACUUUGCAAUACACGAAAGUGUGACAGGGUCAUCCCGAGUGCCGUCCGCUGAGGAUGGCUUUUACCCAGUCUAGAACGCUGGGGGAAUAAGGAGAGGGCAAGUCUGGUGUCAGCCGCCGCGGUAAUACCAGCUCUCCGAGUGGUGUGGAUGUUUAUUGGGCCUAAAGCAUCCGUAGCUGGCUGGGCAAGUCCCCUGUUAAACCCACCGAUUUAAUCGUUGGUCUGCGGGGGAUACUGCUCGGCUAGGGGACGAGAGAGGCCGACGGUAUUUCCGGGGUAGGGGUGAAAUCCUAUAAUUCCCGGGAAGACCACCAGUGGCGAAGGCUGUCGGCUAGAACGCGCCCGACGGUGAGGGAUGAAAGCUGGGGGAGCGAACC
Molecule: ribosomal RNA, 615 nt
Filed under: uncultured archaeon
Lineage: Archaea
Description: bacterial SSU rRNA
Rfam family: Archaeal small subunit ribosomal RNA
Source: RNAcentral